GACAGGGGAUGCAAGCGUUAUCCGGAAUGAUUGGGCGUAAAGCGUCUGUAGGUGGCUUAAAAAGUCUCCUGUCAAAGAUCAGGGCUUAACCCCGGGCCUGCAGUGGGUACGGGCAGACUAGAGUGCGGUAGGGGAGACUGGAAUUCCUGGUGUAGCGGUGAAAUGCGCAGAUAUCAGGAGGAACACCGGUGGCGAAGGCGGGUCUCUGGGCCGUAACUGACGCUGAGGAGCGAAAGCGUGGGGAGCGAACAGG
Molecule: ribosomal RNA, 253 nt
Filed under: uncultured bacterium
Lineage: Bacteria
Description: partial 16S ribosomal RNA
Rfam family: Bacterial small subunit ribosomal RNA
Source: RNAcentral